ACGGGAGGCAGCAGUAGGGAAUCUUCCACAAUGGACGAAAGUCUGAUGGAGCAACACCGCGUGAACGAAGAAGGCUUUCGGAUCGUAAAGCUCUGUUGCUGGAGAAGAACGAAUGCGAGAGGAAAUGCUCGUACUGUGACGGUAUCCAACCAGAAAACCACGGCUAACUACGUGCCAGCAGCCGCGGUAAUACGUAGGUGGCAAGCGUUGUCCGGAAUUAUUGGGCGUAAAGCGCGCGCAGGCGGCUUCUUAAGUCUGAUGUGAAAUCCUGCGGCUCAACCGCAAACGGUCAUUGGAAACUGGGAAGCUUGAGUGCAGAAGAGGAGAGUAGAAUUCCACGUGUAGCGGUGAAAUGCGUAGAUAUGUGGAGGAAUACCAGUGGCGAAGGCGGCUCUCUGGUCUGUAACUGACGCUGAGGCGCGAAAGCGUGGGGAGCAAACAGGAUUAGAUACCCUGGUAGUCCCCGCCGUAAACGAUGAAUGCUAGGUGUUAGGGGGGUCCAACCCCUUAGUGCUGAAGUUAACACAUUAAGCAUCCGCAAGGCAAUCACAAUCGCCGGGUUGAAACUCAAAUGAAUUGUCGG
Molecule: ribosomal RNA, 583 nt
Filed under: uncultured bacterium
Lineage: Bacteria
Description: bacterial SSU rRNA
Rfam family: Bacterial small subunit ribosomal RNA
Source: RNAcentral